RNAcentral lists this unclassified non-coding RNA (1708 nucleotides) under Leishmania donovani. RNAcentral describes it as "gene:LdHU3.28.0870(CDS-product:hypothetical_prote in_conserved)". Lineage: Eukaryota; Euglenozoa; Kinetoplastea; Trypanosomatida; Trypanosomatidae. The record is from RNAcentral.
ACACGCGCACCACUUUUUCAGCUUUCCUUUCCCCGCACUUACGGGCACACGCGCACAUUCAGCAGGACACCCUGCGAGGUGCGAGGAAUGAGCACCUGCGUCGGCGGCGUUUUCUUUACCUCUUCCCGACGGACACCGCAAACUUGCUGACGGGCGCAUGGACGAGCACAAUCACCUGCUCUUACACCAGCGCGACUGGCCAUCUCUCCACCUCCUCAUUGUUUCCGUUUCGACUCUCUUGUUAGUUCUUUCCCCUUGGGUGACCUCAUCCAAGUGAGAGGCAGGCGUAGCCGGCAGGUAAGCCGCUCUGACCUUCUUUCCUUCGACGCAGCGUUGCCGCGCGAGAAAGAUGGAGCCGCGCCGAUGGAGGCCACUGUUCUACAACCCUUUCACGGAGCGAAGACGACGCAUGGAGUACAUUCCCUUGUACCGUGGCUUUUUCCGCACGAUGCCGCUGCACCGCUGGUGCAUCAAAGACAUUCAAAAGACGCUCGGCUACGCCGCCGUCAACCCGUCCCUCUUCGGCUUUCCCGACCAACCCACGUGCGUUGUGAAUACAGCGUACUUUCUUCCGUCCCUGCGGAGUCGGCUGCGCGGUGUAUGGGCCUUCGGCACGGAGCGCGGGUGUAAGAGCAUCAUCGUGCCCCACUCAUGCAGUGGGGAGGCUUUUGACGCGCUCGAUGCCCGUCUCAUCGAGCCACUCUUCCGCUGGAAUCCUGGCAUUGAGUACGUGUAUUUAUCGCGCCACUGCGAGCCGAUGGCGCCGCAGCUCCUAGGCCCUCUCAGCCGCUGCCAUAAUCUGCGCGAGGUGACCUUGGAGGGGUGGAACGACGCCGUUGCCGUGCAUCGCGUUAUGAUGGCGUGCAAGCACGCCGACGUGCUGGAGACGUACAGCCUCGAUGACCCGCCGCGCAACUGGCGCAACGAGCUCUCUGUUCAGGCACUCUCCACCCUAAUCGAGAUGCACCCCAAGCUGCGCGCUGUCAAGUCACAUCGUCUCUACCUCGGUGACUGGUAUGAGGCAACCCGCUUCUCCCGAUGCAAGCACAACGUCGCCCUCAUCCCCUUCUCGUGCGAUUUUGUGAUCGUGUUCUACGCUAUUUUUCUCUGUGUUGUGUGCAUACCUGCGUAUGGCGCGUACCGCCUAGUCUACCGCCUUUGCGCGGGUCGCUUGUCGGACGCCUACACGUGGUUCUGGAGCGUCAUCGCAUUUGUGGUCACGCUCUCGGCGGUCGUCGCCUUCGACUCCGUCGGGCGAUCCUGCCGCGGUAGUGGCUGGGUUCAUAUGCAGAAGUACUUCAUCUUUGCGAAGCGGCGCGUCGACAUGUGGAUGGGCGUGCACCGGACGGCACUCGUUGCCAGAAAGAAGUAACACACGCGUACACACACUCUGUACUCGGUGAGCGUGGCGAUCAUGGAAGCGUGCGUGUGCGUUGGUGGUGCUCUCGCUGCCUUUGAGGGAUAAGGGUAAGCACAUACAAGCGCUGCGGCUGUGCCUAGCGGGCGCACAUCUGAACCGACUCCGCUCACUGUCCAGACGCGAAUACUCACCCGAACGAGUACUUGCAUGCGCGUGCGUGUGUUGUUUGGCUGCUUUUCAUAUGGGCGUGUCUGUGACUCUUGUGCGUGCAGGAGGCUCCCACUACAUUGACUUGCGUUACAAAUCUUAUCGUUUUUCUGUGUUCGUGUACGAUCGAGGCGAGGCGGG